GAUGAACGCUGGCGGCGUGCCUAAUACAUGCAAGUCGAGCGAACGGACGAGAAGCUUGCUUUUCUGAUGUUAGCGGCGGACGGGUGAGUAACACGUGGAUAACCUACCUAUAAGACUGGGAUAACUUCGGGAAACCGGAGCUAAUACCGGAUAAUAUUUUGAACCGCAUGGUUCAAAAGUGAAAGACGGUCUUGCUGUCACUUAUAGAUGGAUCCGCGCUGCAUUAGCUAGUUGGUAAGGUAACGGCUUACCAAGGCAACGAUGCAUAGCCGACCUGAGAGGGUGAUCGGCCACACUGGAACUGAGACACGGUCCAGACUCCUACGGGAGGCAGCAGUAGGGAAUCUUCCGCAAUGGGCGAAAGCCUGACGGAGCAACGCCGCGUGAGUGAUGAAGGUCUUCGGAUCGUAAAACUCUGUUAUUAGGGAAGAACAUAUGUGUAAGUAACUGUGCGCAUCUUGACGGUACCUAAUCAGAAAGCCACAGCUAACUACGUG
RNAcentral lists this ribosomal RNA (497 nucleotides) under uncultured bacterium. RNAcentral's name for it is "partial 16S ribosomal RNA". It matches the Rfam family "Bacterial small subunit ribosomal RNA", at positions 28 to 507 of the family's 1533-position model. The record is from RNAcentral.